Molecule: ribosomal RNA, 834 nt
Filed under: uncultured bacterium
Lineage: Bacteria
Description: bacterial SSU rRNA
Rfam family: Bacterial small subunit ribosomal RNA
Source: RNAcentral
AGAGUUUGAUCCUGGCUCAGAACGAACGCUGGCGGCGUGCCUAACACAUGCAAGUCGAACGGGCCGGUGCGGAGCACCGGGAACUAAAGGAAAUAGGUCUUAUAAGUCCAAUAGGACAUAUGUUUUAGUUUCGAGUGCUUCGCAUCGGUUAGUGGCGAACGGGUGAGUAACACGUAGUUAAGCUACCCUCGAGAGCGGGACAACCCAGGGAAACUUGGGCUAAUACCGCAUAAGACCACGAACUGGGAUGUUAGUGGUAAAAGCAGCAAUGCGCUAGGGGAUGUGACUGCGGCCUAUCAGGUAGUUGGUGGGGUAAAGGCCCACCAAGCCAAAGACGGGUAGCCGGACUGAGAGGUCGAACGGCCACACUGGAACUGAGACACGGUCCAGACUCCUACGGGAGGCAGCAGUGGGGAAUCUUGCACAAUGGGGGAAACCCUGAUGCAGCGACGCCGCGUGGAGGAUGAAGGCCUUCGGGUUGUAAACUUCUUUUGUAGGGGAAAAUAAUGAUGGUACCCUAUGAAUAAGCCACGGCUAACUCUGUGCCAGCAGCCGCGGUAAGACAGAGGUGGCGAGCGUUGUUCGGAAUUACUGGGCUUAAAGGGCGCGUAGGCGGUGAUACAAGUCUGGGGUGGAAUUUCACGGCUUAACCGUGGGACUGCCCUGGAAACUGUAUUACUUGAGUCGGUGAGGGGAAGGCGGAAUUCCUGGUGUAGCAGUGAAAUGCGUAGAUAUCAGGAGGAAGGCCUGUGGUGAAGACGGCCUUCUGGCACUUGACUGACGCUGAGGCGCGAAAGCGUGGGGAGCAAACAGGAUUAGAUACCCUGGUAGUCC